This 483-nucleotide ribosomal RNA is filed under the name uncultured bacterium. RNAcentral's name for it is "SSU rRNA". It matches the Rfam family "Bacterial small subunit ribosomal RNA", at positions 26 to 521 of the family's 1533-position model. The record is from RNAcentral.
AGGACGAACGCUGGCGGCGUGCUUAACACAUGCAAGUGGAGCGACGAACCGGGCUUCGGCCCGGGGCAAAGCCGCGAACGGGUGAGUAUCACGUGGGUAACCUGCCCCGAUGACCGGGAUAACCCGAGGAAACUCGGGCUAAUACCGGAUGUCUUCUCAAUCCAUCAGGGUUGAGAGAAAAGGAAGCUUCGGCCUCCGCAUUGGGAUGGGCCCGCGGCCCAUUAGCUUGUUGAUGAGGUAACGGCUCACCAAGGCAACGAUGGGUAGCUGGUCUGAGAGGACGAUCAGCCACACUGGGACUGAGACACGGCCCAGACUCCUACGGGAGGCAGCAGUGGGGAAUAUUGGACAAUGGGCGCAAGCCUGAUCCAGCAAUGCCGCGUGAGUGAAGAAGGUCUUCGGAUUGUAAAGCUCUUUCGACGGGGACGAUGAUGACGGUACCCGUAGAAGAAGCCCGGCUAACUUCGUGCCAGCAGCCGCGGU